AGUGGCGGACGGGUGAGUAACACGUGGGGAACCUAUCCAUCAGCGGGGGAUAACACUUGGAAACAGGUGCUAAUACCGCAUACGGCUUUUUUUCACCUGAAAGAAAGCUCAAAGGCGCUUUACAGCGUCACUGAUGGCUGGUCCCGCGGUGCAUUAGCCAGUUGGUGAGGUAACGGCUCACCAAAGCAACGAUGCAUAGCCGACCUGAGAGGGUGAUCGGCCACACUGGGACUGAGACACGGCCCAGACUCCUACGGGAGGCAGCAGUAGGGAAUCUUCGGCAAUGGACGCAAGUCUGACCGAGCAACGCCGCGUGAGUGAAGAAGGUUUUCGGAUCGUAAAGCUCUGUUGUCAGCAAAGAACAGGAGAAAGAGGAAAUGCUUUUUCCAUGACGGUAGCUGACCAGAAAGCCACGGCUAACUACGUGCCAGCAGCCGCGGUAAUACGUAGGUGGCAAGCGUUGUCCGGAUUUAUUGGGCGUAAAGCGAGCGCAGGCGGUGAUUUAAGUCUGAUGUGAAAGCCCCCAGCUCAACUGGGGAGGGUCAUUGGAAACUGGAUCACUUGAGUGCAGAAGAGGAGAGUGGAAUUCCAUGUGUAGCGGUGAAAUGCGUAGAUAUAUGGAGGAACACCAGUGGCGAAGGCGGCUCUCUGGUCUGUAACUGACGCUGAGGCUCGAAAGCGUGG
RNAcentral lists this ribosomal RNA (684 nucleotides) under Tetragenococcus halophilus. Its description in RNAcentral is "bacterial SSU rRNA". It matches the Rfam family "Bacterial small subunit ribosomal RNA", at positions 94 to 764 of the family's 1533-position model. Lineage: Bacteria; Bacillati; Bacillota; Bacilli; Lactobacillales; Enterococcaceae. The record is from RNAcentral.